UGGACUAAGAACUAGAUAACC
RNAcentral lists this non-coding RNA (21 nucleotides) under Caenorhabditis elegans. The record is from RNAcentral. Lineage: Eukaryota; Metazoa; Nematoda; Chromadorea; Rhabditida; Rhabditidae.